Molecule: ribosomal RNA, 454 nt
Filed under: Myxine garmani
Lineage: Eukaryota; Metazoa; Chordata; Myxini; Myxiniformes; Myxinidae
Description: partial large subunit ribosomal RNA
Rfam family: Eukaryotic large subunit ribosomal RNA
Source: RNAcentral
CCGCAAGGGGUGCAGGGCGCGCGGCGUCGCCGAUGCGGAGCCGCCGGUGAAAUACCACUACUCUUACCGUUCCUUUACUAACCCGGUGAGACGGGAAGUGCGGGCCCCCUGGUCGGGGGGUCCCGCGUUUCUGGUGCGAAGCCCAGGGGUCGGCCGUGCGAGGCGCGCGUCUUAACGGGCGCGCGUCACGUCGGAGAGCGACCCGGGCGACCCGCUCCGGGGACAGUUCCGGGCGGGGAGUUUGACUGGGGCGGUACGCCUGUCAAACGGUAACGCAGGUGUCCUAAGGCGAGCUCAGGGAGGACGGAAACCUCCCGUGGAGCAGAAGGGCGAAAGCUCGCUUGAUCUUGAUUUUCAGUACGAAUACAGACCGUGAAAGCGUGGCCUCGCGAUCCUUUUGACUUUUUGGGUUUUAAGCAAGAGGUGUCAGAAAAGUUACCACAGGGAUAACUGG